Molecule: ribosomal RNA, 308 nt
Filed under: Streptococcus suis
Lineage: Bacteria; Bacillati; Bacillota; Bacilli; Lactobacillales; Streptococcaceae
Description: bacterial SSU rRNA
Rfam family: Bacterial small subunit ribosomal RNA
Source: RNAcentral
UUUAUGAGAGUUUGAUCCUGGCUCAGGACGAACGCUGGCGGCGUGCCUAAUACAUGCAAGUAGAACGCUGAAGUCUGGUGCUUGCACUAGACGGAUGAGUUGCGAACGGGUGAGUAACGCGUAGGUAACCUGCCUCAUAGCGGGGGAUAACUAUUGGAAACGAUAGCUAAUACCGCAUAACAGUAUUUACCGCAUGGUAGAUAUUUGAAAGGAGCAAUUGCUUCACUAUGAGAUGGACCUGCGUUGUAUUAGCUAGUUGGUGAGGUAACGGCUCACCAAGGCUUCGAUACAUAGCCGACCUGAGAGGG